CGCUGGCGGCGUGCCUAACACAUGCAAGUCGAGCGAGGAGAUUCCUUCGGGAUGAUCCUAGCGGCGGACGGGUGAGUAACACGUGGGCAACCUGCCUCAUAGAGAGGAAUAGCCUUCCGAAAGGGAGAUUAAUACCUCAUAACAUUGCAGUUUCGCAUGGAACAGCAAUUAAAGGAGUAAUCCGCUAUGAGAUGGGCCCGCGGCGCAUUAGCUAGUUGGUGAGGUAACGGCUCACCAAGGCGACGAUGCGUAGCCGACCUGAGAGGGUGAUCGGCCACAUUGGGACUGAGACACGGCCCAGACUCCUACGGGAGGCAGCAGUGGGGAAUAUUGCACAAUGGGGGAAACCCUGAUGCAGCAACGCCGCGUGAGUGAUGACGGCCUUCGGGUUGUAAAGCUCUGUCUUCAGGGACGAUAAUGACGGUACCUGAGGAGGAAGCCACGGCUAACUACGUGCCAGCCGCCGC
This 467-nucleotide ribosomal RNA is filed under the name uncultured bacterium. RNAcentral's name for it is "bacterial SSU rRNA". It matches the Rfam family "Bacterial small subunit ribosomal RNA", at positions 34 to 518 of the family's 1533-position model. The record is from RNAcentral.